AGAGUUAUAGGUUAAGUAGAAUAAACCAUUGGCCUUCAAAGCCGAAAAUGAGUAUUCUGACUCUG
This 65-nucleotide transfer RNA is filed under the name Dolabella auricularia (sea hare). Its description in RNAcentral is "tRNA-Trp". The record is from RNAcentral. Lineage: Eukaryota; Metazoa; Mollusca; Gastropoda; Aplysiida; Aplysiidae.